UCCAGCAGGCCGCCGCCCGCCGCUUAUCCCCACCGCCUCCGCCGCACCGCCUCCACACCACCUCCCAACAGAUCCCUAUAUAAGAAAGAGACCCAACUUCGCCUAUGCAUAAGGACAGGGCACGACCACAGAGGGACGGCUCCAUCGAUCUGCCUCCAGAGGCGUACAUGGGAGGGGCUGCGUCGAGCCGCCGUGUCCAUCUCGCCGCCCAGCGCCUCAUCCCCUCCGGCCGCCCAGAUCCCCUCGCCAUCUUGCAAGUCCAGCCCAACCACGACACGGCCGAUGUCAAGCGGGCCUCACCGUUAUGGCCAUCUUGGCGCCGCUGGGUUCUCCGCGCCGCCGAUGCCUAGGCCGACCCAACGUGCGCCGCCCGCACCCCGCGUGCGACGGCCGGGGGCUCCGACGCCCACGAUAGCGAGCACGCUCCAGCCUGGCUCACCAUGCGCCAUCUUCCCUGACGCCCUGAGGGUGGCCACCCCAGGACCUACCUGGCGGACGAGGUUGGGACGGGUCCAAGGUUCUUCGCCGAAGUCCAUGGCUUCACGAGCCCAACGACCAGAAGCAGGCAUCCAUGGAGGGAUCCUCGAAACGCCACCCGAUGCUCCCUCCCUCUUCUUUCACUUCUCUAGCUAGCUGAAGGAAGGGCUCGAGCCGAGAGCGCUGCCUCCGUCGGUCUCUGGCUCCCCAGCCGGUCUCCGCUAUCCGGUCCUCGCAGGCCCUCUUCCCCUCCUUCGUUCCUUAACAAAAACAUUAAGUACUUCUUGCCUCUCCAUUCUCUUUCCUACAAUUCAAUUAACUGAGUCAGAAACAUAUUACGGGAUAUUGCCGGUUGAUCGAUUGCUUUAAUUAGUUGUUGGUUAGUAAGUCUACCGCGUGUACACGAGUACGAGCAAUGGAUGUUUGUGAAGGCUAUGAGAUACUGGAAAUCAAGGAGCUAAUUGUUUGGGUCACUUGACUGAAUUGUAACUGCACCAUUUGAGGCGAUUUUGCCCUGGUUUUGCUGGGUGGUAAGGUGGUUUAUGGGAGUUGCUGAGUUGGUGGAAGAUUGGGGCAUUUGCAUAUGGUUGGUACUGAGGAGGACUAUGCUGCUGGAGUGGGAAGCAGGAGAGCAACCGUUGGGAUCUUGGAUUUUUUUUCCCCGAGCAGAAUGUGGGCUUACUACCUUUAUAUUGAAGCUGAUGUAACACGUCAGAAGUUCUCCACUCCUGCAUAAAUGGACUGCAUCAUCAACCUGCACUGUUAAGGUGAAGUUGAAGAAAAGGAAAGAGAACACUGAUUCUUCAGGAAAAACUGGAUAUGGAGCUGCAAGAUCUAAAUGAAGGACUUCGGGAUGGUACUAUUGUAAUUGUUCAUAUGCGAAUUUACAACUUGUCUGGCUAGACCUAUGUUCUGAAUAAUCUUCAUUCCUCCAUCCAUUGUAACUUCAUGUUCAAAGGUGCUUAUGAGACGGAAGUUAAACGAGAUGGGACAAGAAAAGAAGGCUUUUCAGGUUUUACUUGCUUAAAUUUUCUGAUCCAUUAAUUUUUAGAGAAACAUAAUUGCAUAAAUAAGCAGAUUUACUUGCUAUCCAUUGGAAUAAAAAAAUUGAGCGGAGAUAUGAUUUUACUGUUCAUGUUCUUUCUUUUCUAUUUGUAUUGAGGUUCAUGCUCACUCAAAUAUAUCAUGUUGUGGGACUGUCUGAUCCAUGCAUACUUUUUUACUUUCAGUUUGUUUUAUUGAUAGGCAACGUCGUAUUUUUUUUAAUCAAAAAUCUCUAUGGGGUUGGUGAAUCUGCGUUCAUUGGAUGAUCUCUUCUUUAAUAUAAUAAGAAUGGUCCUUUCUUAGAAUAGCAAGACCGAAUCUGGUUAGGUCGGGUGUGAAAUCACCCGACAUGGAAUGCACUCUAUACACCAAUUAUCUACUUCCAUUUUCAUUGGCAUGAAGUCUGCCAUUAACAUACAUUUUUGUUAACAUAUGUUUUAGUAAACGUGGGAAGCACCACUGGGUAUAGAACAAUCGCACCCUUGAUAAUUAACUUUGUCAUUUGUUUCAGACUACAGAAGUUACAAAUAAUGUUACCCAUAUGUUUUGUAAUGUUCAAGUUAAGAUUCUGACGGGGGAUAAUUACCAUUCAUCUUCAAAUUUAUAUUCUGAAAAGUUCUUCAGUUCGAACACUAAGGAAGGCUAUUUCAGUUUUCACAACUUCUUCCAAGUUGGACAAUGAAUUUCUAUUUCUACUGCCAGUACUUAUGUUUUCACUACACCUAUAUAUAGGCUGCACGCAAGUCUGAAUAAGAAUGAACUAGAUGAUUAAGGCGUUUUUCUAUUAUAUAUAAUCAUAUAUUUCUAAAAUAAAUCCCAGUCUAUAUGAAAUGCUAAUGAGAUCUUGUGCUGUAAAUACAUUCUAAAAUCUCUUCAAUCUGGGGCUUCCUUUAGAGUUUUGUUAGUACUUUCUAUGGAAAAAUCAUUAACAAUUCUAUCCAGUGAAAUGCUGGCCCUUUUCAUUCCAACUAUAGGACAACUAUAAACUCAAACUAUGCUGCUUAGCUGUGCUAUAAUAUGCUAACUCUGAACAAUUGAUUUGCAAUCAAUUAGCACCAGACGCCAUGUUCUUCAUUUUCGUCAGCCAAAAUGCAGAAGAUCGAAUUGCCCUUCUCGGCAUCCUGUCCUGCCGCCUCUUCCACUUGAAGCUCCUCUGCAGCCAUGGUGAUGGUUGUGCGCCUCUGUUACUGCAAAACCGCCUACCUCGAGGUAUAGAACAACAGCCACUGUUUUUUGCAAAUGAAGCCACCAGGGCUUGGCAGGCCAUGUCCAUCGCGCCGUGUUGUCAAAGUUGCUGCUACUACCUCUGUUUACUUGGCCAAGAUCGAACUACAGCCACGGCAUCAGAUGGUUCCACAUGUGCUUUUGUUUGCCCUAUAGUUAAAUCAAGUGUUCUCUCUUUUGCCGGCCACUAAGAACCAGCUAGAGUGAUGGCGGCCACAACGACAUGGUGUUUUUCUCCAUUAAAAGCAGUAAGUGUAUUAUGUUCUGAUAGUUACCAUGUAUGUUAUCAGGAUGUAGUUAAUGGCAUGGUUAGCAUCAUGUUAUUUGUAUAAAUUUGUAUCUUGAUUACAUGCAGAAAAAAGAUGUGUAAACCACAAAUAAUUUGUCACUUCUCAGAUUUAACUAUGCAGCUGUAAUACCUUUUGAUAGGCUACGAAGCUCUGCUACUCUUAAAAUACUAUAUUCUGCAAACUUUGAGUCUUCGAGUUAAGUUCCCAUGUUUCACAGAUAUUAUGAAGGAACAUGAAAAUGAAGCGGUGGACUACCUUUGCAAAUAUAGAAAAAUAUCAAUUGUGUUCUGCAUCCAUCAAUAUUAUUUAGAGCACUCAUCAGAAAGUUAGGAUCUAGCAGUUCAGUAGUAGUUACGAGUUUGGGCCCCUUUGUAAGAAUAGAACUUUUUGAUAAAUUUAGUAGUGACAUGCCAGAUGCCAUACGGAAGGUAUUCUUCAAGAAUCAAGAGGAUAUAUAUGCUGAAGAUCUCAUAUGUUAAGCGUGUUAAUACAUGCUUACAUCUGUCAAAGUGGAAAUUCAAGGAAGAGACGCAAUGUAUAUAACCACACCGUAUCGAUUCUUACCGGGAUCAUAUAUAGAU
Triticum aestivum (bread wheat) is the source of this 3616-nucleotide long non-coding RNA. RefSeq lists it as uncharacterized. Lineage: Eukaryota; Viridiplantae; Streptophyta; Magnoliopsida; Poales; Poaceae. The transcript is spliced from 4 exons. The record is from RefSeq and is a predicted model, not a curated record.